GAAAAUUCGAUUCCGUAAACGUUUACUAGUCGGUACGGCGACGAGUAUACAUGGACGGCGCGACGGCCGAACGCGAACUAUACACACCGUUGUUGUUCGUUUUACCCGAGUACCGGAGUCUAUUUCAACCUGCUUCACCAUGACCGACACCGCAGUCGCCGCACCAGCACCGGCCGCCUCGUCGCCGAAAAAGAAGUCCGCCUCUCCAAAGGCGAAGAAAGCCGCGUCGGCCCAUCCUACCACAGCCGUGAUGGUGAUCGCGGCCGUCGAGGAGCUGAAGGAGAAAAAAGGGUCGUCGUUGCCGGCCAUCAAGAAAUACUUGGCCGCCAACUACAAAGUGGACGCCGCCAAGCUUGCGCCUUUCAGGACCACCAAAUUAUUAUAAUAUAUACAAUAAUUGCCCGGUAGGUAGGGUAGUCUCAUACCGAAUUAUAGAUUAUAGUAGUUUCCCCGUGUAAUACAAGCCAGGCAGUAAGUAAUAGUGAUUGUGGAAUGGAACGAAAAAGUUAAAACGACUACAAUACGGGUAAAUACGUUUGUUAUUGUAUAUUUAGGAAAAUGAUGUCCUACAGAUACAAACUUAGAAUAAAUCCGUAGUUAAUCAACUGUCAGUCGGUAUUACCCAUAGAAUACAAAUAAAAUAGAAGUAUGACAAUCGUAUUUUAAACAGGUACAUUAAUAUUUCAAAGUUUUGUUAAUUCAGCAAUUAAUUAUACAAAAAAAACCGAUAAGGUGAUUUAAUAUCAAUAAAUUCUAGAAGAAAUAUUUGUUAACAUACAUCAUCCAUAGAUACUGGAUAAUCGUGUACCUAUCAAUAAAUUAUGUUAUGCUUUGUAUUAUUAUUUUUUUAAAUAUUAAAAAAAAAACAUUGUGCACUAUUAUUUUUGCAGAUAGUAUUUUCUAUCAGACAGUAAUAUCAUACACCAUCCAACGAGAAGGAAAAAGAGGAAAUAAUUAUUGGAAUCGCCAGCUGUUUUAACCAAUUAUUUGAGAAAAUGUAAAAAAUUAUUUUAAAAAAAUGUCAAAUGUCUACGGCAAAAAUUCGAAGACAUAAUAACAUGUCCACUCUGAAGGCUAUUCGUUUCUUCCAGGCUGCGUCCGGCGGCUGUUCAUUUUUUCUACGGCCAGAUAUACGGUGUCAUAGCCGCCGCGGAUUUCGUCUGGGCCAUUGAUAACGGCGCACCGCAUGCGGCGGUCGUGUUGUUUAUCUCCGAACGGAUAAACGUGAAAUGUGUCUUAAAUAUUAACGGAAAAAGUAUUUUUUUAUGGUCAGUGUUUGCGGUUGGGUUUUGGAGUUGAAAAAGUAACGUUCUGUAGGCUGUUCCCAAUGGGUAUACCUACUCUGCGACACUUUCGUUUACCGGCGUUGUGGAAGUUCUGGCGUCUCAUGAAGUCCACAAUUGAUUUUCCUGCGGCCAUCGAAAAAUCUCUGCGGUUAAGUUAUUCAUUUUGAUGUUGAUUAACGGAUAGUUUGCUUCCUAAUGUUACCACUUGAUUUUUCUACGUUGGAUUCACCAAUUUGAGAAGACUGUCAAUCGGUGAUACCGAUACAAGCCAAAUAUUUUGACCGUUGGAAACGACCAGUAUUGUGUCUGUUGAUUUCCAUGCCUGCCGAAAAAUAAUAAGAAUGUCAAAUUGGAUGCAAGAUCACUUUGUUGAUGUUACAAACUCAUUUAGCAAAUAAUAAAACUAAUAACUUAUUUA
Adelges cooleyi (spruce gall adelgid) is the source of this 1704-nucleotide long non-coding RNA. RefSeq lists it as uncharacterized. The record is from RefSeq and is a predicted model, not a curated record. Lineage: Eukaryota; Metazoa; Arthropoda; Insecta; Hemiptera; Adelgidae. The transcript has 6 exons.